GGGCCUAUAGCUUAGUCUGGUUAGAGCGCUCGGCUCAUAACCGAGCGAUCACCGGUUCGAAUCCGGUUAGGCCCACCA
Molecule: transfer RNA, 78 nt
Filed under: Methanohalophilus halophilus
Lineage: Archaea; Methanobacteriati; Methanobacteriota; Methanomicrobia; Methanosarcinales; Methanosarcinaceae
Also listed under: 5 other names
Description: tRNA_Met_CAT
Rfam family: tRNA
About the family: Transfer RNA (tRNA) molecules are approximately 80 nucleotides in length.
Source: RNAcentral